RNAcentral lists this long non-coding RNA (935 nucleotides) under Struthio camelus australis. RNAcentral describes it as "lncRNA (ENSSCUG00000015032.1)". Lineage: Eukaryota; Metazoa; Chordata; Aves; Struthioniformes; Struthionidae. The record is from RNAcentral.
GCGGCGCGGGGGGAACCCGUGGAAGGUUUUCAAACAGCCACGAGAGACUUGGCAGAAUUUACGGCCUUCAGGGGCCGGUGAGAGGUUUGCAGGGCCGGAAGUGUGUGCCUAGUGGGGCGCGCUUCUGGGGGGGAUUUUGCAGGUGGUUCCCCAAAAGCAUACAUCUCUGUUUGCUGUAAUUGCCUCAUUUCUGCCACUGGUGCUGGAAAGGUAAAGGCAGCAGAGGCGGGAGCAGUUAUCUUUCGCGGUGGUGUGCUCAUGCUUCCUCUGCGUAACUCCUCAGAUACAGUUUCACUUUGUGGACUGCCUUUCUGCGGAAAUGGGCAAUUUUCUUACACCACGGCCAUCACAUUUUCAGAUCCUCUGUGUCAGCAGGAGGAAGUGCAGACUGCCCUGUCUCUCUGGCGUCAGUGGCAAGAGCAGGAGAGGAGAAGCCUGCCCGGCUGGCCGCACCGCGCAGCUGUUUGCACCAUCGCAGCAGGGAACUGCAGCGGGGCACAGAUUCAGCUGGAAAAUCACCUCCGAGAAGUAAAACUGCCUGGGCUCACAGCGUGGAUGUCACCGUGAACGUCCAGAGGCGACUGGUGGUCUGGCUUGCCACGGGGCCCACGCUGGCCCACUGGCAAGCAGCCGCCCUGGCAAUGCACGUGACUCCCCCAGCGGCUGCCCUGGCCAAAUUCCCCAGAUCCUGCCCUAGGAGCCCCGGCCACCACACCUCUACUCCAGCCUCAGGGGACAAGCCAGCUUUCACUCGUUUUCCUGUAAAUUGGGCCAUGAUGCCUCUCAUUUCCUGGUGCUUUCCGUCUCAUGAUCUUAUCCCACUGAUUUUCCUUUACAAGCAACAGGGAAAUGCUGGGAAAGUUGUGGAAAACAGAAAGGAGAAACAGGUCACACUAGAAAUUCUGAAACCUCAGCAAAGCUCUUGUUUAAGGUGA